UACGUAGGGGGCAAGCGUUGUUCGGAAUUACUGGGCGUAAAGGGCUCGUAGGCGGCCAACUAAGUCAGACGUGAAGUCCCUCGGCUUAACCGGGGAACUGCGUCUGAUACUGGAUGGCUUGAGUCCGGGAGAGGGAUGCGGAAUUCCAGGUGUAGCGGUGAAAUGCGUAGAUAUCUGGAGGAACACCGGUGGCGAAGGCGGCAUCCUGGACCGGCACUGACGCUGAUGAGCGAAAGCCAGGGGAGCAAACGGG
Molecule: ribosomal RNA, 253 nt
Filed under: uncultured bacterium
Lineage: Bacteria
Description: partial 16S ribosomal RNA
Rfam family: Bacterial small subunit ribosomal RNA
Source: RNAcentral